Long non-coding RNA from Panicum virgatum (switchgrass), 1167 nucleotides. RefSeq lists it as uncharacterized. The record is from RefSeq and is a predicted model, not a curated record. NCBI's taxonomy places the organism in Eukaryota, Viridiplantae, Streptophyta, Magnoliopsida, Poales, Poaceae. The transcript has 2 exons.
UCAUGAAUUCCUGAUGGGUAAGAUUCCUACCAUUUGUUCUAGGGUUAGGGCUAAAUGUGCUCGAUUCUGCUCCCUUUUGUAGUCGUGUUAUUUUUUUAUUGGCAAAAUUUGCUGCUUGGUAUGUAGGAUGGAUCCCAAUUCGUCCUACAGGCUAGCUGCUCGAGUAGGUGCUGAUGUAAAAUUUACUGAUGAUGAUGGUCGCCAAUAUUGUGAGGCAUGCAACAUUCCUAAGAUUCUAGACAGAGAUAGCACAAAUUGGAAUGAUUUGCUGCUUGAUAUUAGUGCAGAAAUUAAGCUUGGCUCUAAACACAAAAUGCGUGUCACAUAUUUGGAUAAUAUGAGCCGUAGUUAUGAAGAGAUCAAUUCUGACCAGAAAUUGCUUCAUGCUAUUGACAUGUAUUGGGAGUCAAGAAGGCUAUCCGUACAAGUUUGUGUUCUGAGAAAGGAUGAAUCAGAUGCUGUGCAUGAUGUUGGACGGCUGGAGAGCAUGCCUUGUUUGUUGCAAGGAAGCACUGACAUCAUGUGCUGCUGAUCCACCACAAGAACAACCAUCACCUGUUGAACCAUUUGCUACACCAAAUAGACUUAUCCCUUCUGUUUCCACAUCAAGCCCUGCGACAAGAAGGUACAACUGCAUUUGCAAAAUGUAAAAAAAAAAUCUGUUACUACAAUCUCAUAGGUUUCUUCAUUGCAGUAUGUCAAAAAGGUUGCAGCUAGAGCCAUCCACGCCAAGUACAACCAUCUCUCCUGUUCAAACACCUAGUCCGAUGACAAGGGGGUAUAACUUUUUAAAUCUUUAUGUCUUCUUGGCUGUCAUCUUUACUUCAGUUAAUUGACAUGCUUUUGUAUCGAUUUUACAGCCGCAAGAGGAUGUUGGAAUAUGAAGGCUCCAUACAGCCCAUUACCUGCUCAGCUCUAUCUCCAAUGCGUGUCGAUGAGAAGGGAGAGGCGAAAAAGCUAAAAGUAGUUAGGUCCAAGAAAAUGGAAAUGUAGGUUAUGUAGUAUUUUGUUGUAGGUCUAAUGUGGGCACUUGCUAGUAUCAGGAUAGCCAGAUGUGGCUCAAACAUUUCUUUUGGUUUGCUGGACCUCUAAGUCCUUUUUCUUUUACCAUGCUGUGUUCUAAGGGUGAAUUCUAUAACCCAAUGUGGCUAAACCUGCUAUUUUGUA